Molecule: ribosomal RNA, 851 nt
Filed under: uncultured bacterium
Lineage: Bacteria
Description: bacterial SSU rRNA
Rfam family: Bacterial small subunit ribosomal RNA
Source: RNAcentral
AGUCGGGCGAGGCUUUGCAGAGUAUCGCAAAGUUUAGCGGCAAACGGGUGAGUAACACGUGGGAAACCUUCCUUAGAAUGAGGAACACCCCCGAGAAAUCGGGGUUAAUACCUCAUAAGACCACAGCCUGGCAUCAGGCAGGGGUAAAAGGCGCAAGCCGUUUUAAGAUGGUCCUGCGGGAUAUCAGCUAGUUGGUGGGGUAACGGCCUACCAAGGCUAUGACGUCUAUCCGGCCUGAAAGGGUGAACGGACACACUGGAACUGAGACACGGUCCAGACUCCUACGGGAGGCAGCAGUGGGGAAUUUUGGACAAUGGGGGCAACCCUGAUCCAGCGACGCCGCGUGGAGGACGAAGGCCUUCGGGUUGUAAACUCCUUUUAGUGGGGAAGAAUAAAUUGACGGUACCCACAGAAAAAGCCACGGCUAACUACGUGCCAGCAGCCGCGGUAAUACGUAGGUGGCGAGCGUUACUCGGAAUUACUAGGCGUAAAGCGUAUGUAGGCGGUCGGAUAAGUCUUUUGUGAAAUUUCCUCGCUCAGCGGGGAAAGGGCCAAAGGAUACUGUUCGGCUUGAGUGUGGCAGGGGUAGGCGGAAUUCCUGGUGUAGCGGUGGAAUGCGUAGAUAUCAGGAGGAACACCGAUGGCGAAAGCAGCCUACUGGGCCAAUACUGACGCUGAUGUACGAAAGCUAGGGUAGCAAACAGGAUUAGAUACCCUGGUAGUCCUAGCUGUAAACGAUGUUCACUAGGUGUAGGAGGUAUCGACCCCUUCUGCGCCGACGCUAACGCAUUAAGUGAACCGCCUGGGGAGUACGGCCGCAAGGUUGAAACUCAGAAGGAAUUGACGGAAGG